RNAcentral lists this ribosomal RNA (161 nucleotides) under Segatella hominis. Its description in RNAcentral is "Prevotella sp. BCRC 81118 partial 23S ribosomal RNA". It matches the Rfam family "Bacterial large subunit ribosomal RNA", at positions 2752 to 2925 of the family's 2925-position model. The record is from RNAcentral. Lineage: Bacteria; Pseudomonadati; Bacteroidota; Bacteroidia; Bacteroidales; Prevotellaceae.
AGUCUGGAUUGGAUAAGCGCUGAAAGCAUCUAAGUGCGAAGCCAGCCGCAAGAUGAGAACUCCAUAGAGGGUCGUCAUAGACGAUGACGUUGAUAGGAUGCAGGUGUAAAGACAGCGAUGUCAAAGCCGAGCAUUACUAAUUGCCCGAACACUUUCUUUUG